UCCCUUGGUCUUCUUUAUGCGUUUCUUCCCCUACAUGUUCUUCAUAUACCUUAGCCUUCCAACUAUGUCCUUUAAACCCAUAGAUUUUAGGUCUAGUAAUUUCUCAAGAGACGCUACAAUUUGAAUUUAUUUGUAUCUAGGAAGUCCCUUCAAGAACUUCUUCACCAUCUUGGAUUCUUCUAUGUUUUCUCCUAACAAGGCUGCUUUAUAUGAUAGGCCUGAUAUAUUUUCCGCAAAGUCAUCAACCGUAUUCGUAUCAUCCAUCUUUAACCUGCUAAACUCUAUCAUCAACGUCUAAAGUCUUGCCUCUCAUUCACGAUCAGCUCUAGGUGUCGUCAUGACUUAAUGGCCUCCCAGAUGUCUUUAAAUACGAGUUGUUCUCCCACUUGGAGAAUCAAGGUUUCAAGAAGAGAUUGGAAUAGAAGUGAUGUCGUCGCCACAUCAUUCUUCUUUUGAUCAUCCGAACCCGGUUCUACUGUCUCCCAUACUUCAUGAACUCUCAAUAGAACUUUCAUCUUCAUUGACCAAAUCGUAUAGUCCUUCGUGGCAGCAUGUUCUAGUCAGGUCUGCCAUGCUUGUUUAUGUGAUAUCUCCUCCGUCUCCUAGAUCUAGUCUUCAACUUAAGCUCUGUUACCAAUUAGAGUUGAAUAUCUUAUUAAAUAUUAAAAAUUAUUUAUUUAAACUUCCACUGUGAAACUUGAAUUAACGUCUCUCAAGAUACACUGCUAUAUAUAAACUAGAUGAUAAUGCGCGCGGGUGAGUAUUUUAUACUAAUGUUUUUGUUCAUUAAAUGGUUUUAACAUUUUGCAACACUACAAUCUUUAUCGGUUGUAAAAUGAGGAAUAAAAAUGUUGGUCUCUUAAAUGUAUUCAUCGUUGUUGAAGAGUUAAUGUAUUACAGCUUAUUUUAGUUAUUUUAAGACUUCAUAUGCACAAAAAAAGUUUUGUGCCUGACACAAAUCACAAAAACCAGAUAUGAACAUCAAUUUUAAAAUGACGAAAGGGGAUUAGGUUUUCUGCUCUCGAUUUGUUUAUUAUUGACUCUCCAUAAAUGAUUUUAUUUUCUACUUCUAGAAAAUUGUGUUUUCGUUCUCGUUUCUAUUUCACUGAUAUGAGUUUUGUUUAUUUUUUAGACUUUUUCUAUGAAUUUAGUGAGUUACAUAAGUGUCAGUUUAAAAUUUGCACAUCUGUAAAAAUUAGUUCUACUCGAGAUACAUAUCUAAGAGUCAAAUGUUUUUAAAAAUCACCAGCAAACUCUAUUCACAUGUUAGUGUUCAAAUCUGAUAUAUCAAGCUAUUAUAAAAUAUAAGUGCAAGCUCGAAAUUAACAUAUAUUAUAUUUUUAUAUAGUAUAUAAUUUAAUUUAAAUUAUAUUAAUAUAAAUAUAUGAAUAUUUAUUAAUGAGACUUCAUAUUCAUACGAUUUAUGAUCAUUUGUAUCUUACUUGAACAAAAAACAAUUAAACCUCUUAUCACAAAAGUUUCAAUGUGAGACUUUUUACCAUUUUUAGUAAUUUAUAGUCGUGUUUAAAAAUUCAAAAUAUAACAUAUAAGAAAAAAUCUAAUUUUUUAUUAUAUGUUUAAUGUGAUUGUUUAAAUUUCUUUUGAUAACAUAAUUUUUUUUAUCAGAUAUUUUUUAUUCAUAAUCAUUUAUUCUGAUAUAUAUGUUAUAAUCAUAUUAGGUAAUUCCACAACUUUUAUUUAAAAAAGAAUUGAGAAUAUUCUUUUGUACACUACAAAUCAUUUUGAUAGUUAGUUUAACAAAAAAUAUAAUAUAUAUUUAUAUGUACCAACUUAUUUUUCUAAUGAUUUUAAGAAUCAUCAUAGUGAUGACGCGUAGCUAUGAAUACAUGUUGUAAUGCUCUAGAAUUAAUAUAUAAGGGAUAUGAAUGUUCAUAUUUUCAAUUUCUGAAUUUUAGGAACGUCUAAUCUAUGGAUGAGAGAUCCUUGUCGACUUUGCGUUAUAGUGGUUUAGAUAAAAAAAAAUAUUUUAUAGACGACAGAAAAGUGAUAAGAGUUUAUUUUUAUAGAAAUUAUAUCAACAGCUCAAUUAGAUUAUAUGAUAUGCAAUGUGGGUUUAUAUCAUUGCUGUGUGUACUCAAUUAUCUUCUAUCUAUCUAUCUAUACUAUUAUUUGUGAAGUAAAGUUUCGAAAUCGAGCUCUCACGUUAAAAGUUAGAGUGGUUAAUAACGUUUAUACCCUUAAUGAAUAAAAUGUAUAACUAAAUUAAAAAUAAAAACGAAAUUUUAAUUUAUUUGAUUAGAUAAUUGAUUAAAAUUAAUAAUAGUAAGAAUUAUCCAAAAUCUGAAAAUAUAAUUUAAAAAGAGAGAUAAUUUUUGUAUAUAUUGUAUUGUUAUCUGAAAAAGUCUUUUAGAAAAAAGUUAAAAACAAGAAUUAUAUAACUAAAUAUUAAUCAAAUAAAAUGUAUAACUAAAUUAAAAAAUAAAAACAAAAUUUUAAUUUUAAUUUAUUUGAUUAGAUAAUUGAUUAAAAUUAAUAAUAGUAAGAAUUAUCCAAAAUAUGAAAAUAUUAUUUUAAAAAGAGAUAAUUUAUGUAUAUAUUGUAUUGUUAUCUGAAAAAUCUUUUAGUAAAACGUUAAAAACAUGAAUUAUAUAACUAAAUAUUAAUCAAAUAAAAUUCUUAAUUAUAUAAUUAAAAAUAGAAUAUUGAAUUAUCCAAAAUCUAAAAAUAUAAUUAAAAAAAAAAGAGAUAAUUUCUAUAUAUUUAUAUAUAUUGUAUUGUAUCUGAAAAAAGUAUUUUAGUAAGAAGUUAAAAACAUAAAUUACAUAAUUACGUAUUAAUCAAAUACUUUUUUAAUUAUAUAAUUAAAAAUAUAAUAUUAAGUUAUUUUAAAAUUUAUUUUAGUAUAAUGAAUAUAGUGUACAAAGAACUUUUCGAAAAUUAUGAAAAUGUUUAAACCUGCAUCACGGGCAAAACACCUAGUACUAAAUAAACUUGUAAUAGUAGAAACUCGUCAUAUAUGAAUGUUUAUAGAAAUUAUCUUAACUAUAUAUAUUUUAGGAGGUUGAAUCCAAACUAAUGAAGUUUUUCUAACAUAAAUUAUAGCGGUUAUUUAGGAUUUGUUUUUUAAUGGAUUACAUUUAUUUCAGGAGGACAAACAUUGGUGUUGUGAACAGUGACAACUGUCAUAUUUUAAAUUUAAUGAAUUUGUAAUAUGAAUGUAAAUCCAUAUAAUAAAAGCAUCUCCUAAAGAGAGUUUUUUGAUAAGUAUUCAAUGAUUAAAUAAAAAAAUAAAAAUUAAGAAAAAUGUAAGUAUGGAUUUCAUUUGAGCAACUUUCAAAAUUUCAGUAGAACUUUUUCUUCUAUCUGUCAGCAUUUAGCUAUUUAAUAUCUAAAAUAAAUCUAAAAGAGAACUAGCUGUCUGAUUAAUGUUUUAGUUUUCUUUCUUGAGAAUUUUUUUGGAUAUCUGACCGAUAAUCCUUUUCUGACAAAGGAUGGUAACGUGUAGGACAACUGCGGAAUAACUGCGGUAUAGUUCUAAUAGUAAUAAAAAUAUAUAGAUAUAUAAGUAUGUGUAAUUUUUUUUACUAUUAACGCGGAGCGAAGCGGUGCAGUUCGUCACCAUUCAGAGCAUAUAGUUUGAGUGGUUAAUAGGGUGCAAACACUGAUUUGACCACCCUAACCCAAUCCCAAAAAAAAUUAACAAUUCACUGAGGGCUUGACUGAUUUUUCUGAUACCAUCUACAAACGCAUCUUUUGUGGGUUAUUAGUAGCUUUUGGUGUUUUUCAACGAUCAGAAAAACAUUGUAAAUUGUUUCAAACUGUUGUAAACCUCUUAAAAUCAAAAUUUGAUAUCUGCUAUCGUUCGUAGUUGCGAGCGAUUAUGGGUGAAUAAAUAAUUAUAUAUUUUUAAAAAAAAUCUUCUAAAAUUUAAAAUUGAAAUAUUUUUAAAUAAUAUAUAUACAUUUAUAUUUAAAUUUAAAUUCAUUAACAGCAUCAUAAUUUAUAUUAUAAAACCUUUAAACAAUGAAUAUUCACUAUAAUUUUUAAAAAUAAAUAUAUGUAUAUAUAUACAUAUAUAGAGAUAUAUACAUAUAUAUAUAAACGAAACAAAAUAUAUAUUUUAAAGUUCUUAUAUGAAUCUUCAAAAGAAAUUUUAUUGAAAUAAUAAUUUUCAUCUAAACUAAACAAAAAAAUAAAUAUCAAUAUUAAUUAUAUUAUAUCAUAAUAGUAUAUUUUUUUAUAUUUUUAUAUUGUUAUGGUACGUUAAUAUCUAUAAUUCCUUAUAUAUUAAUUGAGUAGGAUUACAACAUGUUUUGGUAGCCACAUGUCAUCACUAGGAUGAUUCGUAGAAUUCUUAGAAAAUAGGUUGGUCCAUCUAAACAUAUAUUAUACAUGUUUAUUAAACUAACUAUCAAAUUGAUUAAUAAUGUACAAAAGAAUAUUCUCCAUUCUUUUCUCAGAUAAAAAUUACGGAAUUGUUGUUAUGAUUAAUACAUAUAAAAUACAUAAAUAUGUUAAUUUUGAAAGUUGCAUUGAAAAAGCAUUGAGACUUUAAUAUUUUAAUUUUGAAAUUUGCAUAAAAAAUCUCAUAUUGAAAAUUUUGUGAUUAAUAUUUUAAUUUUUUUGUUACAACAAAUAUACAAAUUCUAAUAAAAUCAUAUGAGUACGAAAUCUGAAUAAUAAAUAUUUGUUUUAAAAUAUACUAUAUGUUUAUGUCAAUAUCAUUGAAAUUUAAUUAUAUACUAUCUAAAAUAAAUAAAAUGAUUGUUUUGAUUUAUUCCAAAACAAUUAUUGUAAAUAAACAGAAAGUAUUAUUUUUAUUUAUGUGUUUACUCUAAUUUAAUUAUAUACAUAAUACGUAAAUGAAAAAUAAUUAAUAAUAUGUAAAAAUUAUUUAACUUUGUACCAUUCAUACAAAAUAUUUAAUAACUAGAUGGUGGCCCGCACACUUGUGCGGACUAAUAUAUAUCCAACUAAUUCAAAUUUUAACAAAUUUUUAAUUUCAGUCUAAAUUAUUUAAUUAGUUUCAAAUAUUAAAUUAAUUAGAGAUAUAAUUAUCUUUUUUUUUAUUACAAGAUAACAUAGAUAAUGGUUUGGUAUUUGUAAAAUCUUUUAUUUAUUCUAUCACUAAACCAUACAUAUAAAAAGUAUCAUCAUUAUAAUAAGCUAAAAAAGUUUUAUUAUUACUUUAAAAAUAAUAUAAAAGAUAAAUCUAUAAAUAAACCAUAAUUACCAAAUUAUCAGUGAAGCCUAUGAAAUCAAACCCCUCUUCAUCAAAGUCUUAAUUACAUUUUAUAUGAAUUUCUUUUUCAUCGGAGUUCAUAUUAAUACCUAUUAACAAAUUUACAAUAAUUAAAAACAUUCUUCUAUUUAAUAAAAGUAUAUAUCUAGUAUAAGGUGUAUUUUUUUUUUAAUUUUUAACAGCGAGAGAUUGUAUUCUUUGGACUCAUAUUUUGAUUGAUAAGAUAAUUCGGUGGUAUAAAAGAGAAGCAAGCUUCAUUUUAAAAAUAAUAAAUAAAACAUUAUUUAAUAUUAAAAAUUAACAUAAGAUGAACAAAACUAUAAAAUUAAUACUCAUUAAUAAUAUUUAUCCAUGAAUAUAUUGAAAAUAUUCAUUAAAUAAUCACUAAAUACGUUCAAAACUAACAAUUCAAAAAGUUAUUUAUUAAAACUAAUGACUGAGCCUAAAUUAAAUCAUGGAAUAUGACAAAUGAUGUUCUAAAAGUAAAAAGUAAUAAAACAUGAAAAUAAUAAAAAUAGCCUAACUUAUGGAUAACAUGACAAGUAAGCAAAACUAAAAUUACCACCUAAAAUUAUUUUAAAUAUGAUAAAUAAAUAAAAUUACUACAUAAAAUUAUAAAGAACAUAAGAAAUAAUAAAUAAACUAAAUUAUGGAGGAUAUGGAAAAUAAGAAAAAGUAUAAUUAUUGAAAACAUAACAAAUAAACAAAUUAUCUAAAAUUAUAGACAAUAUGACAAAUAAGCAAUAAACAAUGAUAAAUAAAUAAAAAUUAUGUAAAAUCAUGGAGAAGAUGACAACUAAGCAAAAUCACUUCAUAAAUAAUAGUAUAGAUGCUGGAAACGGAAACUACCUAUAUCUGUAAACUUCCACAAUCGCAUCGGCAGUCAUUGUGUUUCAACAGGUCAGGCCUGAGUUAACGUGUGUAGUUGGACCAACUUAGAAAGUGGGCUAAUGCUUGUGGCCCAAUAACAAAUGUGAAGAAAAGACUUGUUACAAUUGCUGCUGGCUCAUCAUCUUUCUUUCCACCUCCGAGCAAAAUCACCGGCGGAGAAACCUCACCGAUGAAGCAAGUUAUGGCGGGCAUGGUUACGCAGGCACCAUUGAAGUCGUUAAUUCAAGCUCUACUUCUGAUAUCAUUAUCAUUUCCGCCUCUCUCCAGCGCUUACCGACCAGGAGAUAUCGUGGCGAUGAGCAAGAUGGGACAGUACCAUUCGGUUCGAAUCUCUCUUUACAUAUUUAGCUGAGAUUAACUUAGAAUUUGACGUAGACUAAGGAUCUGUUGAUUCCAUGUGCAGUCGAGAACGACUUGGCAUGAUGUGAUCGGAAAGCAUUGCCCGAUCUUCGCCGUUAAUCGCGAGGUACUAACUGUCUGUGUAUAUGAUAUGUUCCUGGGAAAUUAGAUUGAAUUUUCAUGCCGAUUUGCAGGUGCUGAUCCCCAUAGCGAAACCAGUUGGCUACACUGGAACAGAUCCUUAUAAGAUGUGAGAGUGUUUGAUUCCUUUAAUUGAGAUUGAUCUGUCUUUAGCUUCUCUGAGGUUGUGAAGAUAGAUUCACAUCUCAUCUUAUCUUCUUUGAUUAGAGUAGGAGCCAUUUUGUUGUUUGUAUGGUGUAGUUAGUUCUACUCUGUUGCACUUUGUUGUGUUCUUCUUACUCUGCUGCUAUGGCAACAUCCUUUCUUUCUUUAGAUAAGUAUCUAGCAGUUUCUCUUGUUGUUGGCUCGAAUAGGAGAUAAUGAAUAUCGAUUCAUAUCUCAUCUAUUUGAUUAGAGUAUGAGUCACUCUUGUACGGUGUAUUUAGUUCUCUUCUGUUGCAGAUUGUGUUCUUCUACUGCGCUGAACAUGAUGUACUAUGCUGAUACAGUGACAUCUUUCCAUUGUUUGUUACAUUAGUCAUAUACUGAUUUUGUGUCUGAUGUGUGGUUAUGGAUCCUCUUACUUGCAGAAAUUUCCAUUCGUGUGUCUUUAGCUUAUCUGCCAAGUUCAUUGCUGCUUUUAAAUCAGUGUCUAGCAGUUUAUAUUGCUGCUGCUUGAAUAAGAGAUGGUGAAGAUAGAUUUACAACUUAACUACUUUGAUUAGAGUAGGAGCCGUUUUUGUAUGGCGUGUUUAGUUCUGUUCUGUUGCAGAUUGUUGUGUACUUCUAUUGUCUUCUCUGCGAUGAAUAUGGUGUGAAAUGCUGAUAGGGCGACAUCUUUUCCUUGUUUGUUACAUUAGUCGUAUGCUUAUUUUGGUGUGGAUAUGGAUUGAUUUUACAUGCAGAAAAUUCCAAGUUGGAAGUGAGAAAUAUCUGAUACACUGGCUUUUGGUGAUAAACCGGAAGAGUUCAGAAGUUCCAAUGAUCGAUGUCAAUUUGGUAUGUAUUGUUAGUUAGCCUUGGGUUUUGAGUCGUUUAUAAGCUUCGACUGAUUAGGUGUGUGUGUGAGUCCUUUUGAGUGUGGGUUGUUUUGCACAGAGAUAUUCUGGAGGAGAUUUGCUUGGAGUAACAGCUCAAGUUGUCGAUAUGCCUCUUAGCUGUACGUAAAACUCCAUAUCUUGUCUCUUUAUUAUCUGGUGAAAGUUAUAAUCUUCUUUGUGGCAUUGGGUGCUAAUAUAUAAAUGUAGGCAGUUUGUUUACUAGUCUUUAUUUGUUCUGCUGUUACCUUUAUGUCAAUUAUACAGUAGGCUGAUACUAUCCAUCAGGAGUUUUUGUAUAAGCUGAGAUUUUAUCCAUGAACAGAUUUGAAUACACACCCGGAGAUCCGCAAGCAGUUCUGGGAUCCUCAACACUGGCCGAAACAUGUUCUUGUUCGAUACACAUGGUACGCUACGUUUCUUGACCACUUUCAACUCUGUUUUACCUCUCUCCUUCCUUUUCUAAAUAAGAUUUUGGAUACGGUCGAGUCGCGAUAUUUAGCUAAGACACUAUAUUGUGAUGCAUGCAGGAAGGAGCAGUCAGAGAUUGAUGUUUCCUCUGGAUUUUAUGUCCUCUUUGGCUCAGGUAAAUCGUUUUUUUUUUUUGGUUCUUGCUGAUUAAAUAAAACGGGAAAAUAAAUUCACACACUUAAUUAUUAUUAUUUUAUGUUGUGCACUUGUGAUCAGCUCUCACGUUCUCUUUCGUACUCUCCAUUUACGUCUUACAAUCUUCACGAGAGAAGCUGGCGAGGUAAAUGAUCUUCAUGUCCUCUCAAGUUCAAGUGUAUAUCUUCCUUAUCUUGAACCUAAUUCUUGAAAAUGUUGUUGUAGGUUUGUAAGAGAGACGGUUGUGGAAAGCAGCUCGAAUGUUGGAGAGUUUGGCAAGGUUGAGUGAGAGUCAUAUAGUCAAAAGCAGAUAUGUAUGUUGUUGCUGCUGCUGCUAUAGAUGCUUGGACUUGGUUGGUUAAAACAAAAAACAAUUCCAGAAAAAGGAGAUUUGAUCGAACUUGAAUUAGUCGAAAGCAAAGAUAUCAUUCUGUUUGUUCCAAACCAAAUCAAUCAACUUGUAGAUCUUGCAAAACAGAAUGAAAACUUAACAUAUAAUAUGACGGCUUACUUUUAUUCGAAGUUUCUCACUAAACAAACAACAAAUGAAAAAUCAUAAACCAAAAUAUAUCUCCAGAUGCCUUCUAUCUUAACAUUGUUGGUGGCGGCAUGGUGUGAUCAUGAGGAUUAUUAAUUUAUAAUAUGGGUUUAUUAAAUAUAUCCAACUCAUAAUCAAUUGAUAAUAAAUGUAUUAGUUUGUACUAUUUAAUAUAUUAUUAUUUUCUUUCAUCAACAUAUCUCAUCUCACAUCUCUCACAUUUCAUGUUCAUACACAGGCUGUGCCUGACUUUUGGGGGCUUAGAUGCAAAAAAAAAAAAAAAUUAUUUCGCCCUUUAGUAUAGCAUUUGGUAAAAUUGGUAUCGAGGAAGAAUCGAAUCUAUCAAUAAAUUGAACAAACUACUAGCCCAAAGCCACUGAAUCAAUCAAUUUUUUUCUCAAAUUAACCCCUAAAAUAUAUUUAACUAUAUCGACUCUGAAGCACAUAUUUGAUGGGAUUGUACUCAGGCACGGCCCUGUAAUCAUACGUAAACAUAUUAUCAUCAACAAAUGGUUCUAACGACUUCUACUAAUAGAUGGGUGGUUCCGAUACUAUGUUUAAUUUUGCAUUUUAGGUCAAAACCAAUUAAGUAGAUUGACUUGUGACCUUUAUAAGUUACUACUAGAUGAUGAUCCGCGUGCAUGUGCAUGGUGAGUUUUUAUAAUAAUGUGUUCAUUAAAUAGUUUUAACAUUUUGCAACACUACAAUCUUUAUCGAUUAUAAAAUGUCAAAUAUAAAUGUUGGUCUCUUAUAUGUAUCAUCGUUGUUGAAGAGUUAACAUAUUACAUCUCAUUUCAAGUAUUUUUAAGAUUUCAUAUGCACAAAAGAAAAUUAAGUUUUGCAGCUGACACAAAUCACCAAAUCCAAAUAGGCAACAUCGAGUAAGAUGACGAAAAUAUUAGGUUUUCUGCUCUCGAUUUAUUUACUAUUGACUCUCCAUAAGUGAUUUCAUUUUCUACCUCUAUAAAAUUGUGAUUUCGUUAUUUUCUGUGUUUCAUUGAUAUAUAUAUAUAUAUAUAUAUAUAUACAUAUCAAGCUCUUGUUUUUUGCAUUAACAAAAGUUGCAUCUAAAAUGUCAAAAUAACAACUAAAUUAGUGUCUUUCUAUAAAGUUUUAUCUUCAAACCUAUUAAUAGUUUAAUCUUUUAAAAAUUAAAAAACCAGUUAAGUUAAAAAUAUAUUUAACUACAAAAAAACUUAAAAAUGAAUAAUUUAUUUAUUUUUUCUUCAAAAUUUAAAUAUCUGAACCCAACCAAAAAUAUAUGAACCCAAACAUAAAAUACCCGAACCCGACCCAAAGUGUAGAAAUCCGAACGGUUUCUAUACCUUUAUACUGAAAUACCCAAAAAUCUUAAAUACCCGAUACGAACCCGAACGUGUAUCCGAACGUCCAUCCCUACAAUAUAUGAUCAUUUGUAUCUUUCUUGAAAAAAAGAAGUUAGACCAUUGAUCAUAAAAUUUGCAAUGUGAGAUUUUUACCAUAUUUAGUAAUUUAUAGUCAUUUUUAAAAAUUUCAAAAUAUAGCAUAUAAGAAAAAAUAUAAUUUUUUUAUUAUAUGUUUAAUUUGAUUAUUUAAUUUUUUAAUAUAAUAUAAAAUUAAACAAAAAGAGAGAAGAUACAAAAAUUGUUAUCAAAUAUGCAUUAUUCAUAAUCACUAAUUGUCAUAUAUAUGUUAAUCAUAUUAGGUAAUUCCGUAGCUUUUAUUUAAGGAAAUAAAAAAUAUUAUUUUGUAUACUACUAAUUAGUUUGAUAGUUAGUUUAAUAAAAAGCAUAGUAUAUGUUUAUAAGGACCAACAUAUUUUUCUAAGAAUUUUAAAAAUCAUCCUCGUGAUAAGACGUGACUACAAAAAUAUGUUGUAAUGCUCCAUAAUUAAUAUAUAAGCGAUAUCAUUAUUGAUUUUUUUUUCAUUAACAACUAGAGUUUUUGUUUACAUGGCUAAGAUAUCCAGUAUCAACAAUCUAAAUUCAAAAAUGAACUCAGAAUGUUUCAUGGUUUUAUUGUCUUUAUAAGGUUUUUUCUUCGGAAUACAAAAUAUAAUCAUCUAACCGAGUGAUCAUCGAAUGGAUGUGUUUUGCUCCGUUUGAAAUAACAUCGUUAGUUAGAAUAUGUUGAGUUUUAAAUGAACACUCCAAAUUUCUAGGUGACACAAUUAUGAAUUCUACUUUUAUCUUCCAGUUUUUCUUACCUUCAUGACGUAGUUUAUAGUAUACCAACGUUGACAAGUCAUUGAAUUGUAUAAAUGUGGAGCAAUGACUGGUCUUUUAUGUGCAUACAAGAAUGAACUACAGUUUUUUUUAUAAGAGGCAAUGCAUUAAAUGAAACCUACCACCAACUAACCUAACACAGUCUACUCUUACUUUAUGCAUUUGCCCUUUUGGCUCUUUCUAUAUAAACACAAACUCUAUCAGCUCUCUUCAUCAUAAAAAAUUAAACCCAUUACUUACUUAAGCAAAAGAAAAAGAAAAAAGUUUAAGAUUAUGGAGGGCUUCAUAAAGCUGUCAACAUUGUUGAUUGUGUGCAUGUUAGUGUCAGCUCCAAUGGCAGAGGCAGCAAUCUCGUGUGGCGCCGUCGCCAGCAACUUGGGGCAAUGCAUUAACUACCUGACCAGGGGCGGAUUCGUUCCUCGAGGAUGUUGUUCGGGUGUUCAGAGGCUCCACAGCAUGGCUCGGACCACACGUGAUCGGCAACAAGCUUGUCGCUGCAUUCAAGGAGCAGCUAGAGCCUUGGGUUCCAGACUUAACCCAGGCCGUGCUGCUCGUCUUCCUGGUGCUUGCCGUGUUAGGAUCUCUUACCCCAUCAGCGCAAGAACCAACUGUAACAAGUAAUCUAACUCUCACUCUAUUUAUCUCAUUUUACUUUAGGUUGUAAUAAUUUUAUUUGGAUUUUAAUGAAGUGUUACUAACCAUAUAUGAUAAUGUGUUUAAUGUAUUUGGUUGGUUUCAGCAUCCGGUGAGCAUGAGAGCAUAUAUACGUUGAAGUGUUUUAAUUUCCAUAAAAAUAAUGUCACUAGUAUAAUUGUGUAUCCUUUCAAUGUUAUGUGUUGUUUUCAGAAUUGGUGUGUUUCAUUUCUUUCUUUAUAUACGACCGUCCAUUUAAGUGGCCAUCUCUGUUAUGUAUUCCUCUAAGGCGCUAAUGAUGUAUGGAAUUACUAUAUGUAUUGUUUCCCUGCUCUUGCCACGGUCUGCUUUUAGUGCAUCACUUAUUCGGCGCGGUGUAAAUAAACUAGGACCGACACUAGAUUUUGUAAUACAGAUAUGAUCAAACUGACUACUACUUACGUAUUGUGGUAGAAAUAUUUUUUUUUUAAUUUAUAAUCAUUAUUAAGAUAGUCCAAUAAACUGAUAAGUAUGCUUUAAGAAAAUAACCAUAAUUGGACUUCUGAUAAUCAUUUGAUGUCCCCGACUCUUUACCAUUUGAUGUUUUUGUCCAUUGGUUUCUUAAUUGAACCAUUUCCAUUUUCUUUUCUCUUUUUCUUUAUAUCCUUGAACUAUCGCUUGACCACAUAAAUUUCGGACUCGCACGAGUGUCCUCAUAUAUCGUGCUUGGCCCCCUUGUUUGACAUGUCCAAGUAAUGUAGGCCGAAUACAUUAAUCAUAUUGUACACUAGCUUAAGACCCGCGCAAGAUGAAUGUUAUAUAUAAAAAUAAUUUUAUCUGUUAUUAUUAUUUGUAUUCAUUUACGUAUUAUGUAUAUAAUUAAAUUAGACUAAACACAUAAAUCAAAACAAGACAUCUUGUUUAUUUACGAUAUUUUUUUAAUAAAUAAUUCAAAACAAUCAUUUUAUUUAUUUUAUAUGGUAUAUAACUAAAUUUAAAUGACAUGGACAUAGAUAUAUAUACUUUAGGCAAUUAUCAAUAAUAGCACCUUUUGAGUUUUUGUUUCAAAAAUAGCACUAGAAGGAGAAGUCACAAAAAUGACAUUCAUUAAAAGGUAAAAUAUCCCUAAUACCCUUGGUUUAAAAUUAAAUAAACAAACAAAAACAAAUAAAAACAAAUAAAAAAAUGAAAAAAAAAUUAUAGUUUCAGAUUAUAUGUUUUUAGAUUCGAAAUUUUUUAUAAUUUUAUUUUUGAAUUUUUUAUUUUUGAAUUUUUUUUUUAUUUUUUGAAUUUUUUUUUAAUAAUUCAAAAAUACUUUUUGAAACUUUUUUAAUUUUUAAUUUUUAAUUUUUUAGUAUUUAUUUUUUAUUUUAUAAAAUUUUAAACCCUAAUUCCAAAACCCCACCCCUUAACUCUAAACCCUAAGGUUUGGAUUAAUUAACCCAAAUGUAUAAGUGUAUAUUUACCUCUUUAAUGAAACCUAUUUUUGUGACUUUGAACCUUGAGUGCUAGUUUGGGAACAAAAACUUGGUUUGGUGCUAUCCUAGUCUUUUUCUCUAUAUUUUAAUAUAAAUAUUUAUUAUUGAGAAUUCAUACUCAUGUGACAAAAUUUCUAAUGUGCGAUUUUCUGAAUGCAAAUUUCAAAAUUUAAAUAUUAAGGUUACAAUACUUUUUCAAUACAAAUUUAGAAAUUAUCAUAUCUAAGUAUUUUUCUAUGUCAUAUAGUUUAAUAUAAACUAUAUUAAUAUAUAAUAUGAAUGUCUAGUAAAUGAGACUUCAUAUUCAUACGAUUUAUUAUCAUUUGUAUCUUGUUAUUACCAAAAAAGUUAAACCAUUGAUCACAAAAUUUUAGUGUGAGACAUUUAACGUUUUUAGUAAUUUAUAGUCAUUUUAAAAAUUCAAAAUAUAAUAUAUAAGAAAAAAUAUAUUUUAUUAUUAUAUGGUUAAUGUGGUUGCUUAAUAUCUUUUAAUAAUAUAAAAUUAAACAAAAAAGAGCUAAGAUACAAAAAUUAUCCUCAAAUAUUUAUUAUUUAUGAUCAUUAAUUGUCAUAUAUAUGUUAACCAUAUUAGGCACUUCCGUAGAUUUUAUUUAAAAAAUGUGCGAAAAUAUUUUUUUGUACACUAUUUAUCAAAUUAAUAGUUAGUUUAAUAAAAAGUAUAAUAUAAGUUAAGAUGGAUCAACCUAUUUCUCUAAGAAUUCUGAAUUUCAUUCUCAUGGUGACACAUGACUACAAAACAAUGUUGUAAUGUUUCUCAAUUAAUAUAUAAGGGAUUUCUAACUGAAUAAUUUUACUUUUUCUAAAAAUGAUCUUUUGAAAUUUUGUUUGAUACAUAAUCUUUGGAAUAUUCAUAUGGUUUAUUCCCUUGUUUAUUAUUACUGAAAAGUUUAUAAUAGAAAAAAAAGAAGAAAUGUUUAUAGUCUCUAAUAUGUCGAAAUAUAUUUUAGUUCCUAUUUAAAUCGAGGGGUUUGAUGUUAAAUCAGCAUUUUUAAUCAUUACUAGAUGAUAAUCCGCGCGGAGUGAGUUUUUAUAAUAAUGUUUGUUUAUUAAAUGGUUUUAAAAUUUUACAACAUUACAAUCUUUGUCGAUUAUAAAAUAACGAAUACAAAUGUUGGUUUUUUAAAUAUAUCAUCGUUGUUGAAGAGUUAACAUAUUACAACUCAUUUAAAUUAUUUAUAAGAUUUCAGAUGCACAAAAAAAAAUUAAGUUUUGCGACUGACACAAAUCACUAAAACCAAAUAGGCAACAUCGAUUGUAUAAUGGCGAAAGAGAAUAAGGUUUCUGCUCUCGAUUUGUUUACUAUUGACUGUCCAUAAGUGAUUUCAUUUUCUACGUCUAUAAAAUUGUGCUUUCGUUCUCGUCUCUGUUUCAUUGAUAUGAAUUUAGUUUAUUUUUAACAUCUUCUAUGAAUUUGGUGAAUUACAUAAGUAUCAAUUUAAAAAAAAAAUGGACAUCUCUAAAAAUUAGUUCUACUCUAUAUACAUAUCUAAGAAUAAAAAAAUUGAAGAAAAUCACCGGCAGACUCUAUUAACAUGUUAGUUUUCAAAUCAAAUAUAUCAAGUUGUAAUAGUAUAUAUGUAGAGACUCUAAAUAUAAAUGUAUGUCAGUAUAUAUUCACUAGUUCGGUAUAAAAAUCGUCUAAAUUCUAGAACAACAAACUACUUAUAUUAUUAGCCAACACUUUUGAGGUUUAGUUACUUAAGAGUAUGCAAAAAAAAUAAUAUAUAUUACUUUACCAUUCUAGUAUAGGUAAAUUAUGUAUAAACUAAGAACCGUUUGAUUUAUUAAAUGAUAAACUAGAAAACAUAUAAUAAAUAGCUCAUAUCUCUCAUUCUUACAAUUAUAAUAGCUAGAUAGGGUAUUAAGGAGAAACAAAUAUUAGAUGAAUGAUCAAAUCUCUCAUUAUUCGAAUAAACUCAAAAAGAAGUGAUUGAAAUCUUUCAUUAAAAUCUUUUUAGAAAUAAAAAUCAAAACUAAAUUAUUUAAUCUGAAUGAAAUAAUAUAUAUAGUGUUUCCAAUAUUAAAAAUCAAUUAGAUUUGAAAAAGUGUGUUUCUCGGAUUGUUAGGAUUAAAUAAGAUAUUAGAAACCAGCUAUUUAAAAAAUAAUUUAUAUACAUUAGAGUAAUCACAUAAAUCAAAACUAAUAUUUUUUGUUAAUUUACAAUCACGUUUUUGUAAAUAAAUUAAAACAAUAAUUUUAUUUAAUUUAUAUGGUAUAAAAUAAAGUUUAGUGAUAUUGACAUAGAUACAUAAUAUAUUUUAAUAUAAAUAUUUAUUAUUGACACUUUCUACUCAUAUGAUUUUUUAACAUUUGUAUAUUUGUUGUAAUAAAAAUUAGCUGUAUAUUUGUACAUUUGUAUAUUUGUUGUAUGCAUAAAAGCAUAUAUAUUAGAGUGGGCACAUAAAUUAAAACCAAUACUUUUUGUUAAUUUACAAUCAUGUUUUUGGUAAAUAAAUCAAAACAAUUAUUUUAUUUACUUUAUAUGGUAUAAAUUAAACUUUAGUGAUAUUGACAUAGAUACAUAGUAUAUUUUAAUAUAAAUAUUUAUUAUUGACACUUCCCACUCAUAUGAUUUUUUAACAUUUGUAUAUUUGUUGUAAUAAAAAUUUAAACCAUUAAUCACAAACUUUUAAUGUGAGAUUUUUUAACACAAAUUUCAUAAUUAAAAUAUUAAGAUCUCAAUAAUUUUUCACUACAAAUUUUGAAAUUAACAUAUUAAUUUUUGAAAUUAACAUAUUAAUUUAUAUACUUUUAUAUUGUAUAUAAUUUAUUUCAAAUGUUAUUAAUAUAUAUAUAUAAGAUGAAUAUCUAUUAAUAAGACUUAAUAUUUAUACGAUUUAUUAGGUCUGUGAAUUUUAUCUGAUACCCGAACCCGUGUCUGAAUUCCAGCCAAAAAUACAAACCGAAAUAGCAAAAUACACGAACGGUUAUUGAAUUCGGAUAGAUUGGAUAUCCGAAUGGGUAAUAUCCAAAUCGGAAUGUAUAUCCAAAAAUAACCAAACAUAAGUAUACUUAACCCUAUAUUUUUAGUUUACUUCUCUCAUUUUAUUCAAAAUAUUUAUAUUAAUGAUGUACAUUGCUCAAAAUUAGAUUAUAUACAAAUAAUUAUGAACAAAAUCAUUUACUACUCACUUAAAAUACACAUCGAGCUCUUGUUUUUUGCAUUAACAAAAGUUUCAUCUGAAAUUUCAAAACAACAACUAAAUUGGUGUCUUUCUAUUUUUAAAGUUUUAUCUCCAAACUUAUUAAUAGUUUAAUCUUUUAAAAAUUAGAAAGCCAAUAAAGUUAAAAUUAUAUUUGAAAUACAAAGAAAAAACUUAAACAAUGAAUAAGUUAUUUAUUUUUCUUCAAAAUUUAAAUAUCGAAACCCGACCAAAAUAUCUUAACCUGAACAUAAAACACCCGAAUCCGACCCGAAGUGUAGAAAUACCCGAACGGUUUCUAUACCUUUAUACUGAAAUACCCAAAAAUCCUAAAUACCUGAUAUGAACCCGAACGGAUAUCCGAACGCCCACCCCUACGAUAUAUGAUCAUUUGUAUCUUGCUUGAACAAAAAAAAGUUAAACCAUUGAUCACAAAAUUUUCAAUGUGGGACUUUUACCAUUUUUAGUAAUUUAUAGUAUUUUUAGAAAAAUCAAACUAAAAAUUCGAAUUUUUUUUAUUACAUGCAUAAUGUAAUUGUUUAAGUUCUCUUAAUAAUAUAAAAUUAAACCAAAAAAAAGAGGAUACACAAAUUAUUAUCAAAUAUGUAUUAUUGAUAAUCAUUAAUUAUCGUAUCUAUACUAUUAAAGUAGAAUUCAUGACUUCUUUCAUGUGUGAUAUUUUAAAUGGGCCAUCCCCAGAAAGUUACUUAUACUUUUUUUCUUUAUAUUUUCAUGAUAAAAUCCUAACAACCUAUUUAAUUCUCUUUUUAUUACAGCAAUAUAUUAUUAGAUGUACAUAAUUUUAAAAAUAUAAUAUUCCAUCAAUAUAUAAUUAUAUUUGCAUAUAACCAGUUAUAAUCUACUUAAUAAUAAUAAAAUUUAAUUAUUCUAGAGUUUAUACUUUUAUAUGAUUUAAUUAAUAUUAAUAAUAAAAUUUAUUAUGCAAAUACAAUAAUGUUAGAAUUUUACCUUGCAAAUAAUAAAUCGAAUCAAAUGUUAAAAAUCCUAACACUAUUGUAUUUGCAUAAUAAAUGUUAUUAUUAUUAAUUAUAUUUUACAAGUAUCAAUAUUUAUAUAGGUACUGUAUUAACAAACAUGUAUUAAAAUAUAUUAUAUUUUAAAAUACAAUACUAUAGAUUCAAUCAUAUACUGUUUUUAUAAUAAAUUGCUUAAUAUAUAUAUAUAUAUAUAUAUAUAUAUAUAUACUGUUGUGAUUGAAAUUUUCAUGCGUGAUUUCAUAAAUUUUAAAUAUGUAUAAAUUUAAAAUUUAAAAUAAAAAUAUGUAAAGUAGUAUUGUUACAUAAUAAUGUUUUCAAAAUAAUUGUUUGUACAAAAAUACAAAUUUAUAGUAAUAAUAUAUAAGCCACAUAAACAUAGCUAUUAUAAAAAUACAUAAUAUAAAACACUUAAUUGCAUUAAGUUAUUUGUAAAUUUUGUUAUACUCCCUCUGUAUACAAAUAUAGAUGUUUUAGUUUUUUUUCUUUGUAUACAAAUGUAUGAUGUUUUACUUUUAACUAAUGAAAUUUUCUUUAAAAAUAAAAUAUUAAUCAAAAUGUAAAAAUUUAAGUGGUUGAAUUUUUAUUGGAAAUCAAAUAAAACUUUAAACUAACUAAAAUAAAAACCAAAAAGUAAUAGAUAAAAAUAAAUAUUUAAUUUCUCUUAAUAUGUGUUAACAACCUUACACAUCCUAUAUUUGUAUCAAGAGGGAGUAUAAACUAAAAUAUUUAAGUAUAGAAAUAAAAAACCGCACUAAUUCCGUAGCUUUUAUUUAAGGAAAUAAAAAAAUAUUAUUUUGUAAACUAUUAAUUAAUUUGAUAGUUAUUUUAGUUAAAAACAUAGUAUAUAUUUAUAUGGACCAACUUAUUUUUUUAAGAAUUCUAAGAAUCACGCUCUUGAUGACACGUGGCUACGAAUAUGUUGUAAUGCUCAAUGAUUUAUAUAUAGGGGAUUUUUCCCAUAAGCAAUUUUACUUAGGUUUGACCAUUUUGUCAACAACUUAUUAUAACACAUUAACUUUAGUUUCUGGAAAUAUUUACAUUCUUAGGAAAAAAACUCAAGUAACCGAAGAUCGGGGAAGCAUUGCAUUAACAUGGGAAUAUGUGUAUUUUUGAUGUUUAAUUCAUAGUAAAUCCCGUUAUUCAUCAAAUUUGCAUGCAUGCGAAGCUAAGCAUAAUUUACGGGUACACAUGACAUUGAUGGAGCUUUCCCAAUUAUAAAAACCGCACCGACGACCUCAACAAAGUAAAACAAUCAAUUAAACACAAUUAAAAAAAAAAUGACGUUUGCUUCAAAGAUCAUCACAUGCCUCCUCGUCCUUACGAUCUACAUUGCAGCUCCAACAGAGUCACACAUAACGUGUGGGACAGUGACAAGCACAAUGACACAAUGCAUCAGCUACUUGACCAACGGUGGUCCAUUGCCGUCAAGCUGCUGUGUGGCAGUCAAAUCAUUGAACCAAAUGGCUCAGACCACACCAGAUCGCCGACAAGUAUGUGAGUGCCUUAAAUCAGCCGGUAAGGAAAUUAAAGGCCUCAAUAUCGACCUUGUGGCCGCACUCCCUACCACUUGUGGUGUUUCACUUUCCUACCCCAUUGGUUUCAACACCAAUUGUGACAGGUACUUGUCCAUAUAUAACUUUGUUUUUGGUUUUAUAUUAGAUCGUUUUGCUUCUUUCUAGAUUAUCGAUAUAAUUUUCACAGCUGUUUCCACAGUAUAUCUUGAAAGCUAGUUCUCGAUCUACUUGACUCCAAAAUAUAUAAAAGAAAAUGGAUUUGGACUAAUUAAACUACCAGAUAAACACAUAGUUCACUAUAGUCGAUAGUAUAUUGUUGUAUGGUUUGUUACCAGUGACAUGAUACAUUAUUGUUUUGUUUUUUGGAAUGUUACAGUAUAUCGAUUGCCGUGUGAAGGAGACUAGAGACGUACGAACGAAUAAGAAGAGUUGGCCCAACUUUAACCUAAACAAUAAUUAUCCCGCUGCUAUUUUCUAUUUUAUGACUUGAGUUUCUUAUUAUGUAAUCAUCCAUUUCAUAUGGUAAUAAGUAAUAACGAUAAAGGAGCUCUCUCUCUCUUUAUCGGCGCUUUGAUGUAUGUACGCCUAACAUACCAUCAGGAAUAACACUUUGUCUUUCUCUUACAUGUAAUAUAUAUGAUCAAGAGGUUGCAUGAACUAAUGAGCUUUUACCUAACCGCAUAUAUAUAAAGUUAUAGCAUCCAUGAAAAAGGUUUGGCAUAUAAACAUGUUUUGCAAGGUCAAUACAAAGGAUAUCGUUUUAGUCUUCUAAGAAUGUAAAUUUCAUUACUAUUGUAUUGUAUGUUUGAUACAAGAGAACCUGAAUCCAAAGGAUAUCAGACAAAAUGGGUAUUCGAUAUCAGACCACCGGUUCUACAUGUAUGUCAAAUAUUUGUUGUGAGUGUACGUUGUUUGGAUUAAUUUAUAUAUAUAUACUAGUGGUAUUCCGGCGCUACGCGCCGGGUUCAUAUUUUUUUAUUCUUUAAUGAAUUCAAUCAUUUGCUUAUAGAAAUAACAGUUUUUGCAUAUCUUCUUGAUGUUUAGUAAUUAAGUUUGGGGGAUCAACUUGGGGUUCCGUUUGCCAAACUAAAUUAUCAAUACGUUUGUGCUGUUUAUUAAUUUAACAAUUUUAUUUGUUUUGUUUGGUUAUUUGUAGGUUUUAUUUAAAAAUUAAGCUACUGUUUUAUGCAUUUGUAUUUAGCUGGAUUUUUCUAUGUUAUGUGCAUGUGAUACUAAGAAUGUUGCACUCAGACAGUUUGUACCGGCUACUUAUGUAUUAUAGCUACUAUAUGUGGCUUCGUAUGUCAUUUGGGGGUCUUAGUUAUGGCUUAGCUUAGGUUGGGUUUUUUUUGACAGACACAAUGAAAAAAGAGUUGUCCAAAAAAAAACACAAUGAAAAAAUUUGCGAUAGUAGUUAAAGUGAAAACAGAAGCAAAAGCUCAAGUAAAAAAAAACAGAAAAAUUUCUAGGGAAAACUGAAACAAUAGCAAUGUACCAACAAUCCCAAAGAAAAGUAAAAAUUUAUAAAUAUUAAUUAGAAUCUAUAUAUUCGAUUUGAAAAUGAGUAAAAUUUAAUUAGACUUGUAAAUAUAUAUAAGAUUUGCAAAUCAAUUAAAUUGCAUAAAUGAUUGACACCCUUAAACUUUUGAUAAAAAUAAAGUAAAAAUCAAAACUGAGCAGCAAACCAACAUAUGCUGAGUCGCUCAAAUAAGAUAAUUCUUAUAUAUAUAUAUAUAUAUAUAUAUAUAUAUACUGUUGUGAUUGAAAUUUUCAUGCGUGAUUUCAUAAAUUUUAAAUAUGUAUAAAUUUAAAAUUUAAAAUAAAAAUAUGUAAAGUAGUAUUGUUACAUAAUAAUGUUUUCAAAAUAAUUGUUUGUACAAAAAUACAAAUUUAUAGUAAUAAUAUAUAAGCCACAUAAACAUAGCUAUUAUAAAAAUACAUAAUAUAAAACACUUAAUUGCAUUAAGUUAUUUGUAAAUUUUGUUAUACUCCCUCUGUAUACAAAUAUAGAUGUUUUAGUUUUUUUUCUUUGUAUACAAAUGUAUGAUGUUUUACUUUUAACUAAUGAAAUUUUCUUUAAAAAUAAAAUAUUAAUCAAAAUGUAAAAAUUUAAGUGGUUGAAUUUUUAUUGGAAAUCAAAUAAAACUUUAAACUAACUAAAAUAAAAACCAAAAAGUAAUAGAUAAAAAUAAAUAUUUAAUUUCUCUUAAUAUGUGUUAACAACCUUACACAUCCUAUAUUUGUAUCAAGAGGGAGUAUAAACUAAAAUAUUUAAGUAUAGAAAUAAAAAACCGCACUAAUUCCGUAGCUUUUAUUUAAGGAAAUAAAAAAAUAUUAUUUUGUAAACUAUUAAUUAAUUUGAUAGUUAUUUUAGUUAAAAACAUAGUAUAUAUUUAUAUGGACCAACUUAUUUUUUUAAGAAUUCUAAGAAUCACGCUCUUGAUGACACGUGGCUACGAAUAUGUUGUAAUGCUCAAUGAUUUAUAUAUAGGGGAUUUUUCCCAUAAGCAAUUUUACUUAGGUUUGACCAUUUUGUCAACAACUUAUUAUAACACAUUAACUUUAGUUUCUGGAAAUAUUUACAUUCUUAGGAAAAAAACUCAAGUAACCGAAGAUCGGGGAAGCAUUGCAUUAACAUGGGAAUAUGUGUAUUUUUGAUGUUUAAUUCAUAGUAAAUCCCGUUAUUCAUCAAAUUUGCAUGCAUGCGAAGCUAAGCAUAAUUUACGGGUACACAUGACAUUGAUGGAGCUUUCCCAAUUAUAAAAACCGCACCGACGACCUCAACAAAGUAAAACAAUCAAUUAAACACAAUUAAAAAAAAAAUGACGUUUGCUUCAAAGAUCAUCACAUGCCUCCUCGUCCUUACGAUCUACAUUGCAGCUCCAACAGAGUCACACAUAACGUGUGGGACAGUGACAAGCACAAUGACACAAUGCAUCAGCUACUUGACCAACGGUGGUCCAUUGCCGUCAAGCUGCUGUGUGGCAGUCAAAUCAUUGAACCAAAUGGCUCAGACCACACCAGAUCGCCGACAAGUAUGUGAGUGCCUUAAAUCAGCCGGUAAGGAAAUUAAAGGCCUCAAUAUCGACCUUGUGGCCGCACUCCCUACCACUUGUGGUGUUUCACUUUCCUACCCCAUUGGUUUCAACACCAAUUGUGACAGGUACUUGUCCAUAUAUAACUUUGUUUUUGGUUUUAUAUUAGAUCGUUUUGCUUCUUUCUAGAUUAUCGAUAUAAUUUUCACAGCUGUUUCCACAGUAUAUCUUGAAAGCUAGUUCUCGAUCUACUUGACUCC
Molecule: long non-coding RNA, 22000 nt
Filed under: Brassica napus (rape)
Lineage: Eukaryota; Viridiplantae; Streptophyta; Magnoliopsida; Brassicales; Brassicaceae
Description: long non-coding RNA (BNAP_LNC000429)
Source: RNAcentral